CCUACGGGUGGCUGCAGUGGGGAAUAUUGGACAAUGGGGGGAACCCUGAUCCAGCCAUGCCGCGUGUGUGAAGAAGGCCCUCGGGUUGUAAAGCACUUUCAGUGAGGAAGAACGCCUGGUGGUGAAUACCCAUCAGGUAAGACAUCACUCACAGAAGAAGCACCGGCUAACUCCGUGCCAGCAGCCGCGGUAAUACGGAGGGUGCGAGCGUUAAUCGGAAUUACUGGGCGUAAAGCGCGCGUAGGUGGCUUGAUAAGCCGGUUGUGAAAGCCCCGGGCUCAACCUGGGAACGGCAUCCGGAACUGUCGAGCUAGAGUGCAGGAGAGGAAGGUAGAAUUCCCGGUGUAGCGGUGAAAUGCGUAGAGAUCGGGAGGAAUACCAGUGGCGAAGGCGGCUUUCUGGACUGACACUGACACUGAGGUGCGAAAGCGUGGGUAGCGAACAGGAUUAGAUACCCUAGUAGUC
Molecule: ribosomal RNA, 465 nt
Filed under: Vreelandella stevensii
Lineage: Bacteria; Pseudomonadati; Pseudomonadota; Gammaproteobacteria; Oceanospirillales; Halomonadaceae
Description: partial 16S ribosomal RNA
Rfam family: Bacterial small subunit ribosomal RNA
Source: RNAcentral